AAAAGCCACAAGGAAUGGGCAUGUAAGCAUGAAGCUACAUGGAAGUCAUUUCAGUGACAUCAGCAAUUAUCUGCAGAUUAUGAUGAAUUUAGAUGAAUGCCUUUUUCAUGAAGUGUAAUUGUUCACUCUUACAGCUUCCACAUUUAGUUUUCUCAUUUCAUCUAAGAAAUGUGAAUGCUAAAAUGUUUCCUUUCAUAUGAUUAUCGCUUUGUCAGUUCUGUUUGAAGAAAGGAAAGAUCUCAUGAAACAAAUAAGUGGUAAAACUACUUCAUAAAAAGAACUUUCAUGAACCAGAAUGCAGCUAUACAGAUAUAAUGUUAACAAAUGCUGGAAAAAAGAAUCAUCCACAACAAAGGUGCUACAUAAAAAUGAGGGAUUAAAAGG
This is a long non-coding RNA of Populus euphratica (Euphrates poplar), 384 nucleotides long. RefSeq lists it as uncharacterized. The record is from RefSeq and is a predicted model, not a curated record. The transcript is spliced from 2 exons. NCBI's taxonomy places the organism in Eukaryota, Viridiplantae, Streptophyta, Magnoliopsida, Malpighiales, Salicaceae.